UCUGAGGGUCCAGGGUUCAUGUCCCUG
Molecule: non-coding RNA, 27 nt
Filed under: Homo sapiens (human)
Lineage: Eukaryota; Metazoa; Chordata; Mammalia; Primates; Hominidae
Also listed under: 1 other name
Source: RNAcentral